RNAcentral lists this ribosomal RNA (253 nucleotides) under uncultured bacterium. Its description in RNAcentral is "partial 16S ribosomal RNA". It matches the Rfam family "Bacterial small subunit ribosomal RNA", at positions 524 to 776 of the family's 1533-position model. The record is from RNAcentral.
GACGUAGGGCGCGAGCGUUGUCCGGAAUUAUUGGGCGUAAAGCGCGUGUAGGCGGCUUUGCAAGUCGGGUGUGAAAUCCCUCGGCUCAACCGAGGAAGUGCGCCCGAAACUGCAGAGCUUGAGUACCGGAGAGGAUGGCGGAAUUCCCGAAGUAGAGGUGAAAUUCGUAGAUAUCGGGAGGAACACCGGUGGCGAAGGCGGCCAUCUGGACGGAUACUGACGCUGAGACGCGAAAGCGUGGGGAGCAAACAGG